UAGCAAACAUACAGCUUGGACACCAAAAU
Molecule: non-coding RNA, 29 nt
Filed under: Bombyx mori (domestic silkworm)
Lineage: Eukaryota; Metazoa; Arthropoda; Insecta; Lepidoptera; Bombycidae
Source: RNAcentral